UAUAUGUCCAAAACUAGUGAAUUCCAUAACAAAUUAUUAAUCCCAUAUUCAUAUACUGCCACUGGAUUCAAAACCUCAAAAUGGCGAAAUUUUUGAAGUCGAUUUUAUUCAUCGUCGUCCUUGUUGCUCUUGCAUCAGAUUGUCUAGUUCAUGGAGAGGUGUGCAAGAAACAAUAUCCCAUUCAAUGCUACUCAAAGGAACCUCAAUUUUGUGACCGGGAAUGCAUGAAAGUAGUUAAUCCAAAAAAUCUACAAAAGAGCCAUUGCAAUGCAGAUGAUAAAACCAAUAUUCAUUGUGUUUGUGCAUAUGUUUGCCCUAAUAAGUAUGGUGAUGACGGACCCAGCUCAUAAGAAGGUGGUACAACUAUACCCCAAAUAAAUCGCUUCUUAAUGUAAUAUUGAGUUAUAAUUUACAUAAUAUAUGUUUUUUCUAUUUUAGAUAUUAGUGAGUUACAAUUUAUUUUAUUUAUAAUUAAUUUCGGUAAGAAAUCGAAAAUGUAAUUCACCAUCGUUAUUUAUUUUUUAGACUAUUAGAGAGUUUACAUUUUUUUACUAUUUGUAUGUAAUAUGUAUUUUUAUUUUAAUUGUGCUAUUAAAAUAUUACUUUGAAUUUUA
Molecule: long non-coding RNA, 614 nt
Organism: Salvia hispanica
Lineage: Eukaryota; Viridiplantae; Streptophyta; Magnoliopsida; Lamiales; Lamiaceae
Source: RefSeq, a predicted model, not a curated record